CGAUAGACUCGUUGGUGACAGCGGAGGGAUCAUUACUGAGUACUACACGUCUCUACCCUUUGUGAACUAUUGUACCUGUUGCUUCGGCGGCGCCCGCGAGGGUGCCCGCCGGUCUCAUCAGAAUCUCUGUUUUCGAACCCGACGAUACUUCUGAGUGUUCUUAGCGAACUGUCAAAACUUUUAACAACGGAUCUCUUGGCUCCAGCAUCGAUGAAGAACGCAGCGAAACGCGAUAUGUAAUGUGAAUUGCAUAAUUCAGUGAAUCAUCGAAUCUUUGAACGCACAUGGCGCCUUCCAGUAUCCUGGGAGGCAUGCCUGUCCGAGCGUCGUUUCAACCCUCGAGCCCCCGUGGCCCGGCGUUGGGGAUCUGCCACGGCAGGCCCCUAAAACCAGUGGCGGACCCGAAGGCCCUCUCCUUUGCGCAGUAGCAUCAGCCUCGCAUUGGGAUCCCUCGGCGUCCUGCCUCUAAACCCCCCACAAGUCCGCUCCGGCGGCACCAAGGUUGACCUCGGAUCAGGUAGGAAUACCCGCUGAACUUAAGCAUAUCAAUAAGCGGAGGAAAAGAAACCAACAGGGAUUGCCUCAGUAACGGCGAGUGAAGCGGCAACAGCUCAAAUUUGAAAUCUGGCUCCUUCGGGGCCCGAGUUGUAAUUUGCAGAGGAUGCGUCGGGUACGGGUGCCUUCCGAGUUCCCUGGAACGGGACGCCAUAGAGGGUGAGAGCCCCGUCUGGUAGGACACCCAGCCCGUGUGACGCUCCCUCGACGAGUCGAGUAGUUUGGGAAUGCUGCUCUAACGGGAGGUAUACUCCUUCCAAGGCUAAAUACCGGCUGGAGACCGAUAGCGCACAAGUAGAGUGAUCGAAAGAUGAAAAGCACUUUGAAAAGAGAGUCAAACAGCACGUGAAAUUGUUAAAAGGGAAGCGCUCGCUACCAGACUUGGGUUCGGCGGGUUCAACCGGGGCCACGCCCCGGGGGCAUUCCGCCGGCCCAGCCAGCAUCAGCUUUCCGUCGGGGGUAAAGGCGUCGGGAAUGUGCUCCCCUUCGGGGGGAGUGUUAUAAGCCCGUCGUGUCAUACCCGUUCGGGGUGCUGAGGUACGCGCUCUGCCAGAUGCCUGACGUAAUGGUAACUAGUGACCGUCUGUAAAAACACCGGAAACCACAAAUUAG
This 1167-nucleotide ribosomal RNA is filed under the name Plectosphaerella cucumerina. Its description in RNAcentral is "eukaryotic LSU rRNA". The stretch from base 504 to 1167 matches the Rfam family "Eukaryotic large subunit ribosomal RNA", at positions 1 to 685 of the family's 3401-position model. The record is from RNAcentral. Lineage: Eukaryota; Fungi; Ascomycota; Sordariomycetes; Glomerellales; Plectosphaerellaceae.